RNAcentral lists this transfer RNA (84 nucleotides) under Candidatus Melainabacteria bacterium RIFOXYA2_FULL_32_9. RNAcentral's name for it is "tRNA-Leu". It matches the Rfam family "tRNA". Rfam says of the family: Transfer RNA (tRNA) molecules are approximately 80 nucleotides in length. Their secondary structure includes four short double-helical elements and three loops (D, anti-codon, and T loops). Lineage: Bacteria; Bacillati; Candidatus Melainabacteria. The record is from RNAcentral.
GCCGAAGUGGUGAAAUUGGUAUACACGCAUGUCUCAGAAGCAUGUGAGCGCAAGCUUGUGUGGGUUCAAGUCCCGCCUUCGGCA